GUCACGGUAGCUCAAUGGAUAGAGCGCACGAUUCACGUCCGUGUAGAUCGGGGUUCGAGCCCCUGCCGUGGCA
Molecule: transfer RNA, 73 nt
Filed under: Nitrososphaerota archaeon
Lineage: Archaea; Thermoproteati; Nitrososphaerota
Description: Thaumarchaeota archaeon (sponge metagenome) tRNA-Val
Rfam family: tRNA
About the family: Transfer RNA (tRNA) molecules are approximately 80 nucleotides in length. Their secondary structure includes four short double-helical elements and three loops (D, anti-codon, and T loops).
Source: RNAcentral